CACACAUUUGGCCAUCCAAAAUCGAGCGAAGCGAAUUUCGCAAAUAAUUGGAGCAGUUUGCCAACGCUCACGUUUUGGGCAAGGUAACACUUGGCCAAGGUAAAGACAGCUCGUACGAGUAUAGUGCCAUAUGUGGAAAAAACACAGUGCCACGCCAGUGUGAAGGGAAAACUCCGGAAUCGAUACCCAUGUUGUUCUCUUAUCGCCGGAGAAGGAGGGAGGAUGGGCAUGGGGCUGAGUCCUGUUGCCGAUUAGCCGUUGCCCUGCCACAUCGAUAAGGCAAAUCAACACUCGAUAAGCGUCCUGGGACAGGGCACAUUCCCGUCCUUAUCGCUGCCAGGAGUUAUGGCAGUCUAUCAAAGUGUUUGUAUCUGCACUGAAAAGUUUUCUGUCUCUAUCAUAAUGGUAAUAAUUACACAAGAAGGUAAAUGACUCCUUGAGAAAGUGAAUCCCAAUUAGGUUUUAGAUUUGCUUUUUAUGAUCACCAAUAUGAUUACUUUGUAAUUGACAUAAGCAGCUGACGAUAACCCUUUCUUCGCCUAUUCAAGUCUUUUUCAUCUUCCAAUAAACGAUGUAAUUGUUUUCAGUGUGUCCGGUCAAAAACGCUGAUUCUGUUACUAUACAUCCUGGCAUGACUCGAUUCGCUGAUAUGACACGAUAAAAUCAUAAAAAAAUCAAUAUUUAGGUCCUAAAAGGAACGACCGAGCAGUGCCCACUAUCAGUGCGUUCUUCUGGGGGCGUUGACCAGGCGCGCGGUCCCGAGGUCGCUUAUCAGCGGCGCUGGGGAGGAAAACCGAGAGCCGCAAGUCUGGGACAUUGUCCGGCGAUGACUUUAAAAUCCUCCCGGACGGUCGAGGGGCGGAAGACCCGCAGAGGCUUAUCACAAGACCGGGCGGCGAGCGUAAAUAAUACAAUGUGGAGGGCACAAGGAAAUGCCGGCGAGGAGGAGCGGGGCAGGAGGAGGCAUAGUUUUUCCUCGGCCACGGGAAAGCAGGAAAAAACGUGCGAUAGGCCAAGGGGCAAAUGAGCUGAAGGAGAGCGCAGAGGAAAAGCAAACCUUUGGCGCUGGCAAAGUGCAUUCGCCCCACCACGGAAUGGAAGGCAAUGCCAGGAGUAGGGGACACUCGGAGAUAUUUCAAGAGAGUAGUUCCAUGUGUAAACAAAUUAAUACUGAGAAACUAAUUCAUAACAGAGUGCCAUCUGGUUUAGAAAAGCCUGUGAAUAAGCAACUAAAUCAUAUUUCCUUGAAGGCUAGAUCGCAUCUUUUCUGCGAGUGUACAGCGCUAUGGGCGUCUAGGACCAGGGGAAACUGGUGCUGUUGAAGUGGACAAGUGAUAAAGCAAGGAAAAGGCAGAAGAGCGCCGCGUAGAAUCCAUUAGCAGUCGCUUGGAACGGAAUGGAUGGAAACUCCCGAUGGGCGGGGAAAUGGGGAAAUAGGAAAAUGGGAAAAUGGGAAACGCGGGGCGCGGUGGGGCACGCGGAGCAGGCGGCAAAAAGUGCAUGUGAAUGGGAAUGAAAAUGGGUGCAUGCGGAGUCCGCCAAGUAGCAACCAAGUGCAUCCCGACUCCCUUUUCCCGUCUCCUCCUCUCUGUUCUCCUCGCCUUUCUUUUGGUGGAAAGGGUUCAAUGCUCGAUUUCUUCUAGCUGCAGUGGUUGCCAUGGGAAAGCCGCGAGGCGGGGAAAACUGCGAGGCAAAUGCCUCUGGGCAGGAUCAACCCCCAAUUACGUUCAAUUAAAAACUCGAACAAGCUGUUGUGUAAUUUGUGAAUUCUGCGGGUAAAGGAUCCCUCCGAAAACCCGACUUGAUUGCCUUAAUUGAGGGCGACGCACAUUCAAUUCAAGAAGUUGUGCCACCGAACAGGGAGUAAUCACUGGAUAACACGCGUCCGGCGGCAUGUCGAGUUCCGGAAAUUAUGCAGGAUCCGCGGAUGCUACCGAUCAGGGAGUUGACUUCUCGAUGAGGGCAGGAUCAAUGGUCCUGGGAACGAACUGAAUUAAAGUCCUCGCCAGCAGAAUUUACUUGAUUUGAAAUAUAAUAUAAUGCAUAAAUGGCCUCUGACUUUAUUUCAACCAUGGAACCACCACCCUGAAAAAACCAAAAAGUCGCUGCUCAAUUUGUUCAUCUAAUUAUAAACAGCCAUCGAGCUGAGCCGAUGAUCCUCGACGGAAGUUCAAUGAUCCCAGGAAAACCUGAAGGAAAAGGGGAAUAGAGCAAAGAAAAGGGCAAACAAUGACUCGGCAGACAAAGGAAAAGAAAAUGGAAAAAUGCCAGCAGAUAGGGAAGGCAAAAGGCAGAAAGGCUGAAAGUCAGUGAUUAUGAAUAGCCAAGACAAUGAGGCUGCAGAGGCAUGAAAGGACGUUCGCCACUCACGUGGACCGAAUGCUGAUCCUCGAGAUGUGCGUGCUGCGAUACGCGUGUGUUCCAGGAAUAGCAAACAGGACACGCCCACGCCCACGCCUUUGUCAAGGAAUACGACCCCGCAGGAGACUCAAUCCGAUCGCUAGUUGCUGUUGAGUAAUUUGUGCGCUGCUGAGAUAAAAAUCUGUUAAGCGGUUACCAAACAUAAACAGAGUCCGGGGUGGAAAAGAUCAUUAUUACACUGGGAAUAAGGAAUUAGUAAUUUUAGACUACUAACUCAUUUUUACAAAAGAAUUCGGGAUAAGGCAAAUGGAUGACUAUAUGUGAAAUGUUGAAAGAUAUUAAAAUAUUUAUUUUAAUAGAUAAUAAAUAAUGCUUUGCAAUCGAACUUGGUUUUUUCCAGUGUGGACAUUACUUAACCCCGGUGCGCGGGGUGUGAGAUCGGUAGCUCCUUCUGGUCGGAUGCAGGCGGUCUAUUUUCGGUCGCAGAACCGGGGCACUUAAGGCUUUAUGUGGGUCCUUCCCGGGGGUUGCGAUGGCUGGGUGACCUUCCCCUGUUUUGGGGGUAAGUUCGGUGCUAUUCCGGCUAUUUGUGUACUCCUGCAUGGCAGUGCAGGAAUCGUCACUCUUCAUUACGAUUUCCAUAAACAGCCCGCAGAUUGCAGUGGCUCCUUCUGCCAGGACAACUGCCGGAGAUUGAAACUUCCCACAUGGGUAGCAAUUUAUCAAUUGAACGAUCCCCGCAGCCACUUAACUUUCGAGGCUCGGGAACUUUGAGUGAGCCUCCUCCUAAUGAAUCGUCGCUGAUUAAUCGAUUGGGAAGCAGAACUCAAGGAGGGACCAAUGAUUUUCUCCCUUAAUUUCAAUUAAUUUACCAUUAGGAUGCCAAUCACUCGAUCUGGCCUUUAAAUAGAAACGAACUUCGAUAUAUUCCGCCUCUAUUUUUAUGCUAAGCAGUCGGUCAGUGCCAGCAUCGCGGCGAAUGCAGCUGAGCGCGCGGAGGAUUAUAAGGCCCAUCAUCGACGACGACGCCGCUUCCUUCCUGCCUUCCAGCCUUCCAGCCUUC
Drosophila simulans is the source of this 3424-nucleotide long non-coding RNA. RefSeq lists it as uncharacterized. The transcript is spliced from 3 exons. Lineage: Eukaryota; Metazoa; Arthropoda; Insecta; Diptera; Drosophilidae. The record is from RefSeq and is a predicted model, not a curated record.